GGAAAAUGUCUUAUAAGUAAAAUAAUCUGCCAGAGAUAUUGAGUUUUUCAUCAAUAUUAUGGAAAUAUCUACUAAAAAUAAGUUCCUAUGUAUUGCUGAUAAGUUACUUGUAAGUUAGUUUUGUCUUAUGUCAAGUGUAGCAAGAUAUUUUCACUAGAAACUAGAAAACAAAAACACUUGGAAAGAUUUUGCGAAGUGUAAUUGUCAGUCUAUUUCAUCCUCUGCUAUUGUAAGUUUUACUUUCAUCUAAGACGUGGGCAGCUAUUAAUCCCAAAGAGCAACAAAAGCAUCUUUGACCACAAGCUAAAACAACUUGUGCAAAAAUAUAUUUGACAGAAAAUUGUAGAUAUCAUUUUGAUCAUCAUCCGGCUAAAUGCCAAUGGACAAUAAAACACGACCCACCAUGCUGAAAUCCUAAACUUGAUGACAAUCCCAGGUUGACCUGAAGGCUUUGAUAAUCUCACAAUCUAUGCGAUUUAGAAAACCUUGCCAAAUAUUGCCAAGUCAAGAUGAUAGACUUUUACAAAGGAGGACUAAAUGAUGACAUGGAUUUUUGUUAAAAUUUUGUUCUCUAAUGGGAUACAAGCCCCACUAAAAGGUGGCAAAAGUUAUGAAAAGAGGACUGAUCAUACAUUAUAGAGUGUUGACUCAAAAUUUCAAGUACAUAUGUGACUUUUUAGUCAACAAGACAAACACAACAGCGUUCAGAGAUGCUUUCCCUCUGAGGCAAAAAGACAAGAAAUAAGGAGAUGUCGAAGGAUGCUACAUGCUAGCUGUGCUAGUGCUAUAUGCUAACACUACAUGUUACACUAAUGCCACAUUUAUAACGUAAAAAAAUAUUACUGUAAAGUUUUUAACAUUGGCGCCUUGUUUAUUUUAUAAACAAGGCGCCAAUGUUAAGUCAUCUUGAAACGAGUCAAGUCAUCUUGAAACGAGGGGCCUCAAUCUGAGAGAGUUUGGCUCCCAGAUCUUUUCCAAGCACUGCCUUGUUUAUUUUAUAAACAAGGCCCUUAGAGGUCCCUAUUUUUUUUUUGUAACUUAUCAUAUUUUUUGCUGUUAAUGAGAGCAAAAAAGAUCCUUCAAAUAAUGUUGCUGUGAUGGAGUAUUUUUCUUAAUAUCACUUUUGACGUUUUAGUAGUGUGAUAACACCAUUGUGUUUUCAGAAAAAACUCAAAAUUUAUCACACAGAAACAUUUUCUGUCGAGAAAAUGAUCAAACUGCUGUGAAAUAAAACUUUUCACCUCCAUGUGUCAUCCAUUGAGCAGCUCCUACCUUCAUGCUUUCUUCCCUGACUCCACCACAUCAGCUCUUAUAAACCCACCUCUGACAUGAGUGGGGCGAGGAUCAGCUGGCCAAUUGAAAUCCCACAUGAUCACGUCGAAAUGAACAGUUUGAGGAUCUACGAUCAACCUGCGGCAUUGUUGAAUUAAUCUGUGAGUGUUCGUGCUGUGACACAUAAAGGUCCACCACGCACACAAGAUUGCCAUUUGACAAUGAAGCGGUGUGUGUGGAGCCAGUAGAUAAGCGUAGAGGGACUGAGCUUGUAGUUGGGGAGUCUAGCCAAGGAUAUUGACCAAACUCUGUGGGCUGCACGGUGUGUGUGGCGGAGAGUCAGCGUGGGAACAACAGAUGCACAAGAAAAAAAAAAGAAGAAAGAAAUCAGACGCACGCAGACAGAAAAGCGUGGGCGGGUGCACAAGCCAACACAUGAACAUAAAGUAGAGGAAUAAUAAUAAUUUUUAAAAAAACGCACGAGAGGACCGUCACACUCUCUGUAUACGUGAGGAUGAGUCAAGCCGGCGAUAAAAAUAUACAGACAAGAACAACUUCUCUAGUAGACAAGAAAAAGUUUCUAAAGAUGACCAAUUGAAUAUCUAAGUGAUGAGGUAAAUAAUACUUUUGUCGACACAGAUGGAGACUAAUGCUAGUCCUACUUUUUGGAGGCGACGCUAAUAGGUGGUGAUUUGAAAGCGUCCAUCGACGUGCCAAAGAGGAGUCAUAAUGGCAGUGAAAUGCCUCAUCAGAAAGAUGAGACGACGUGGCUGCACUUCAUCAAAAACGAAUGUCAGAACACCGAGUUGGUGCUCGGCUUCCAGUGACAGACUGAUGGUCGGUUUUUAAUAUAGUCUGGCAUGAGGAGAAAUCCCACAACAAGGCAGCGAUGGCAAGAUGCAAAAGUGUUCAAUAUUAUUAAAGUCAGAAACAAAGUCCUCAAAAGGAUAAAGUUACUCUAAAAUGACAGAACAAAAAGUAGUUGGGAUUUAAUUCAAGUUGAACACAAUCAUUUAAAAACAAAUCAAAAGGCUUGUAGGUCAUUUUUAACCUUUGCACUGAUUUGAAACAAACAGCAACUAAAACAAAAGAAUGGUGCAAAAUUAAGACAGACAGGAUUUUAUUUUUGUCUUUCAGGGAGAAACUUUUACUGACAAUUGACUGCAAAUGGAAAAUGUGAAGUACAACACACAGUCUCCGUCUGUUAGAAAUAAAGUUUAAAUAAGGUUUGGACUUUUCUUGCCUGACCAUUACAAUAUUAUGUACCAGAAUAUAAAAUAAAACAAAUAAAAAUAUUACAAGUGGGUGUACUAAAAAGAACAAAUUUUAAGGUUAAGCAGUAUCUAAACAGCAUGACUUUUAUGAAACAGAACUUAUGUUUUGUACUUAUUAAACAAGUUGAAAUAAAUUGUGUUUCCUACUUCUCUGCUAAAUCCAUGGUGGCCUUAACUCAAUACUUAUUUAUUAUGAGAAGCUUGGAAGUGAAAAACUGUCUUGGCUUCGGUUGGUGCAAUCAAAGUAUCAUAAAACAGGAAGCUGUUGGAUUCUGAAGCUGGUGGAUUAUUCAACUUAUUAUAACUUGUGGUAUGAAUGUCAGGAUUUGACUGACUUGCUGAAAACCCAUUUUCCCUUUGAGAAAAAUACAAGUCAAGUUACUUCAAGAAAAAACAAGUUCAGGUGCUGGUUUAAAAAAA
Non-coding RNA from Poecilia reticulata (guppy), 2966 nucleotides. NCBI's taxonomy places the organism in Eukaryota, Metazoa, Chordata, Actinopteri, Cyprinodontiformes, Poeciliidae. The record is from RefSeq and is a predicted model, not a curated record.